This 252-nucleotide ribosomal RNA is filed under the name uncultured bacterium. Its description in RNAcentral is "partial 16S ribosomal RNA". It matches the Rfam family "Bacterial small subunit ribosomal RNA", at positions 524 to 776 of the family's 1533-position model. The record is from RNAcentral.
UACGGAGGAUGCGAGCGUUAUCCGGAUUUAUCGGGUUUAAAGGGUGCGUAGGCGGGAUGCCAAGUCAGCGGUAAAAAUGCGGUGCUCAACGCCGUCGAGCCGUUGAAACUGGCGUUCUUGAGUGGGCGAGAAGUAUGCGGAAUGCGUGGUGUAGCGGUGAAAUGCAUAGAUAUCACGCAGAACUCCGAUUGCGAAGGCAGCAUACCGGCGCCCUACUGACGCUGAGGCACGAAAGCGUGGGUAUCGAACGGG